CUGAACCCUAAGGCCUGCAUUUGUUUUAAAUUUGGCGUGCUGCCUUGACAAGCAAUGAGGCUAAUGCAGAGGGAAGUGAAUCUUUUCCCAGGAAUGAUUCAUCAACUUGGUUUUUUUGGGAUGAUACUAUGUACAUACAGUGGUGGGCCUACGUAUUGAAUAUUGGUCGAACCACCUUCUCCAAGGUUAGCUGGAUAGCGCAGUGGCGGAGACAGGAUUCUCACCAAGGGGUUCACCCUCUGCCAUAUAACAUUAAAAAUAUUUUAUGACCUUGUAUAUUGUGUAAUUUUAUUACUUAGGGGGUUUAAAUGAAUCCUUACAUCCCUCUAGCUCCAUCCUAGUGAUAGGGUUGGACAUGCUCCCAAACUUUCUAGUAUUGCACUUUCCUAUUUCUAUGUACUUCAUAUUCUCACCAUGUCCCAACUCUUUGAUGAUUACAUCAAUAUUCACUAUAAGGUGCAAAACUACAUCAAUAUAUUUAUAAGGAGACUGUUGAUGGACCUCUUCACAAUGUAUAUACAAGUUGAAGAUCAUAUUCCUUCCUCAAUUUGAAUCAAAGAUUUCAUUGUCCUGAUUACUUAACUCUUCUUCAAUGGACAUUCUUUCCUCCCUCUUAUGUAGAGUGUGUUUAGAAAUCACCUUAAAAUUAUCAACCUGCACAUCCUAGUAAUUACACAAUAUAAUAGUUAUAAUGAUAUGUAUGUUUGUUAUAAUGUAAUUACAGUGUAACUUUUAGCAUCAUGUAGUAAAAAACAAAAAUUAAAAUAGAAGUUAAUUAUUAAAAAUAAAAUAGAACCUUUUUUCAGAUGAAAAUGUAGAUUCCUUUUGGAGAAUAGAAAGCAAAAGUAAAUAAAUAAGAAAGGAUUGUAUAGUGUUGCUCAAGUCAAACAGAUGAGAACAUUUUAUAUUGUGUGGGGUUGCUUAAAAAUUGACAAGUUGAAAGUGAAAGAUCAAUUAUUGAUCAUUUGUUUUCAUCUUAUUCCCAUUCCUCUUGAUGCAUAUUCUUUACAACAUUACUUUUGCUUUGCUAACACUUGUACAAAUUCCUGUACUUCUUUAUUCUACUUGAUUACAUCUUCCACUUGGCGUUUUCAUUUGUGAUCUUUUUCAGCUCAGUGACUGGUAUGUUUGUUCUGAAUUUACAACUCUGAAUAUAUAUAAAUUGAUUGUUAUUUUCUCCGUCUGUCAGAACAACCUCUCUAUCCCACGAAAGUAGGGACUAGGGACUAUACUAUGUAUGUUGUUGUUAAUUGUUAUUUUCUCUGUCUAUCAAAACAAUCUCUCUAUAUCACGAAGGUAGGGACUAAACUAGCUAUGUUGUUGUUGAUUGUUAUUUUCUCUGUCCAUCGGAACAACCUCUCUAUCCCACGAAGGGCCAAUUUAAGCACAACAUAGAAUAAUCUCAUUCAAAUUAAAAAAUCAAUCUGUGGGAGGGAAGAAGAGGAAAUGGCUCAUGCUGCUGUCGUAUCUCUUCAACAAAAACUGCAGGAAAUGCUGAAAGGUGACAAUUCUCGUUACCCUGCAUUACGUCAAGCAGUCAGUUCCUGGCAUGCAUUUUUAGAGGACUCUUUGUCAAUUAAAAAUGCUCCAGAAGAAGUGGAACAUUUGGAAAAGCAGGUUAAAUGUAUGGCAACUGAACUUCUAGGUAGCAUCGACUUAUAUGAAUUGAAAAAGAGUAGAACUGGUUUCUAUCCAAAAAGUUGGGAAGAGUUCCAGAACGAGGUAGUGACUGAAGGUUCCGAUAGCAUAAAGGCAUAUUUGAUGAAGGUUAUGAAUGCUCGAACUGAAAAUGAUGCUCUACCAACACGGGAUACCCUGGAGAGUGAUUCAGAAUGCAGUCCCCAUCUCCAAGCUACUGUAUUAGACCUUGAUAAUGACUUAAUGACUGUCAAAAUCUCGACUUAUAGGGCCUCUUUCAAAGCUAGAUGUCGUCUCAAUUGUUGGCAUGGGAGGGAUUGGCAAAACGACUCUUGCUAGAAAAGUUUAUGAUGAUAUUUACAUGGAGCAUCACUUCUACGUUCGUGCUUGGAUUACUGUAUCUCAAAUGCAUCAACAUAGAGAAAUGUUGUUGGGCAUCUUGCGGUGUUUUUCACUGGUCAAUGACUACACUUACCUAAAAAGUACUGAGCAAUUGGCAGAACAAGUUUACAGAAGUUUGAAAGGAAGGAGAUAUCUCAUUGCAAUGGAUGAUGUGUGGGACACCACUGCAUGGGAUGUUGUGAAAAGAUCUUUUCCAGAUGAUAAAAAUGGAAGCCGUGUCAUACUUACUAGUCGGCUAGCAAAUGUUGGUAUCUACGCUAGCUCAGGCAGUCCUCCUCAUUACAUGCGGUGCCUAAGUGUGGACCGGAGCUUGAAGUUGUUCAACUUAAAGGUGUUUGGAAGGGAGAAUUGCCCCCUUGAACUGGAGAAAGCUACAAAGCAAAUUGUUGGGAAAUGUCAAGGACUACCACUAGCAAUAGUUGUGGUGGCUGGAUUUUGUUCCAAGAUCAGCAAGACGGAAAAUUGUUGGGAAGACGUGGCACAUAAAAUUGGUUUAAUUGUGAGUCAGGAAACAGAAGAAUGCAUGGACUUACUUGCCUUGAGUUAUAAACAUUUGCCACAUCACUUGAAGCCAUGCUUCCUGUAUAUGGGAGCUUUUCCAAAAGACUAUGAGAUUAGUGUUUCAAGACUAAUCAAGCUAUGGAUUGCAGCGGAAUUUCUAGAAUACACAUUUGAAAUGGACUUCGAAGAAGUUGCUGAGGGAUACCUUAAAGAUCUUAUAGAUAGAAGUCUUAUUAUGGUUAAGAAAAGGACCUCAAGUGGCAAAGUCAAAACAUGCGAGGUUCAUGAUCUGUUGCAUGAUUUAAUCAUACGAGAAGCAUGGAAGGAGAGAUCAAUCUACUUUACUAAAUCAAAUGUGGUUCUUUCUCCAUCCGUGGCAUCUUUUGAGCAUCGUAUCAUUUUCAAUUUUAACAGAGCUUCAUCGACACGUUUAGAGAUCAUUUUUAAUCCACCUUCACUUCCUCAUGCAAGUUCCUUUCUUUGUUUUGGAAGAGAUGGAACUCCUGGAUCCUGUUCUCAGGUUGAUUCGUUUAUCACCUUUACUAACUUCACAUGGUUAACAGUUUUGGAUAUAUCUUUUCAGCCAUUUGACCAUCUACCAUGUGAAAUAUGGCAACUGUUUUCACUGAGGUAUCUUGCCCUAGCCAGUUUUACUAUGCUCCCUCCAUCAAUAUGCAAUCUUAGGUAUCUUCAGACACUAAUUCGUUACAGUCACCAGGCUAGUAUUUGUUUGCCGGCAGAGAUAUGGGAGAUUGAACCAUUAAGGCAUCUCUAUUUCAGGAAAUGCUGCUACUUUAUUAAUGUUCAAUCUGAACAAAAAGAUUAUCAAGGCACGUCUAGUCGCUCUAAUCUUGGAUUAACCAGGUGGCCAGCCUUUUCUUAUCAUCCAAGUGAGUUUAGUCGCUCUAAUCUGGGAUUAACCAAGCUACAAACCCUCUCUUACAUUACCUUUGGUAGUAUCAAAAGGCGCAUCUUCAAAGGCAUGCCUAAACUGAAGAAGUUAGGAAUUCGUGAAAGUGAAGAAGAGCACUUGACUGCUAAAAAGAUGUCUGGGAAACUCAAGAAGCUGGUUCUGUUGGAAAAACUUGAAACACUCAAGUGCUUCUUUGUUAAACCAUGGAUACUUAAAGAAUGUGAUGUUUUCCCACCAACCCUCAAUAAGUUGACGUUGCGGGGGUGCCAACUUCCAUGGAACCAAAUGACAAUACUCUGUAUGUUACCGGAACUUGAGGUGCUUAAGCUGAAGGAUUAUGCUUUCCAAGGAUCAGAAUGGGAGUCAACUGACGAACGUUUUCAGCAGCUAAAGUUCCUACUGUUGGAUGGUACUGAUCUUAUCCACUGGAUAGUCAAUUCUAUUCAAUUCCCUAAGCUUGAGAGUCUUGUUCUGAAGAACUGUUAUUGCCUCUCUGAGAUUCCUGAUGAUGUAGCGGAAAUACCUACAUUGCAGUUCAUCGAAUUGUAUCACUGUAGCUCUUCUGCUGAUGUCUCUGCAAAUAGGAUUCAAGAAGAACAACACAGCAUGGGAAAUGACGAUCUUGUGGUGCGAAUCCACAAAUUUUAUAACUCUGAAACUUAAGGUCUGCGUUCAUUUCGCCUUAAGCGGGGGGUGCUUGUGCCUUAUCCCAAGUAAUAUUAACAAGUAGGCGGUUGUGCAUGGUUGGCUCAAUUCGAUUUUAUGUUUUACUGGUUCGAUUUAUAUCGAUUUUUUAUUUUUAAAUAUGCUAAAUCAAUAGGAUAUUUUUAUCGAUUUUU
RNA transcript from Solanum pennellii, 4293 nucleotides. It is a transcript of the gene named putative late blight resistance protein homolog R1B-14, with no coding region annotated. Lineage: Eukaryota; Viridiplantae; Streptophyta; Magnoliopsida; Solanales; Solanaceae. The transcript is spliced from 5 exons. The record is from RefSeq and is a predicted model, not a curated record.